Molecule: long non-coding RNA, 903 nt
Organism: Zea mays
Lineage: Eukaryota; Viridiplantae; Streptophyta; Magnoliopsida; Poales; Poaceae
Exons: 3
Source: RefSeq, a predicted model, not a curated record
GGACACGGCGUCGUUCGGGGCCACGCCUGACCUUGCUCCUCUGGUUCUGAGGCUGGCUCUAUCUUCUUGACCAUAUCGACCUGAGCAGUGCCAAUCUCGCCGCGGGCUUCCACUGCUUUGCCCUAUGCACUUUACGCCGCCCCCCGGACUGGAAAAUUGCUUCCCCGCGGACCUCCACUCCAACGGUGCCCGUAUCUCCUUUGUCCUGGCUGGAUCCGUAUAAUCUCCUUUGUCCUCCCCCUCCCCUCGUUCCCGUCUCCCUCGCGUUCCUCUCGACCGUACGCCGCCGCCUGGCUCGCACCGUCGACAGUACCUCAGUCCAGAUCGACCCUCCCUCUACCCAGAUCGGGUUCCAGUUGGCCUACCGCCCCCGCCGCCCUACUACAGGUGCCGAGGCCUUCACCGGCGAAGAGCGCCCGCCAGACAAAUGGAACUGGGUGAUAAGGCGGUCGGUUUUCUGCUGACUCUGACAAGCUUAACCUUAUUUACAUACUACACAUUCUGGGUCAUCAUUUUGCCAUUUGUCGACAGCGACCACUUUGUGCACAAGUACUUCCUGCCUCAAGAGUAUGCGAUUUUGAUACCGGUACUGGCCGGCGUGGUUCUCCUUUCGUUCUUGAGCGUGUUUGUGGGCCUUGUGAUGCUCAAAUCGAAGAAGAAGAAGACGGCUUAAUCGGGUUUGCCAUGUACACUGCUGUGUCAUUCACUUAGUGUGAUGAAAUGCAUGAGUUCGCAGUAUCUAAUUGCUAGAAGCUCGGUUCUGUAAUCAGUUCCGUCAUACUUUAAAGGUCUUUACUUUGUCAUCUGGAUGUGUGUUUUUUUUAUUCUGGUGGUCAAUUAAAAGCAGUGUUCAUCAAAACUCUAGUUAGAGGUCACAUAUCGUUAGCCAUUAUUCGGACCGAA